This 375-nucleotide ribosomal RNA is filed under the name uncultured Alphaproteobacteria bacterium. RNAcentral's name for it is "bacterial SSU rRNA". It matches the Rfam family "Bacterial small subunit ribosomal RNA", at positions 521 to 896 of the family's 1533-position model. Lineage: Bacteria; Pseudomonadati; Pseudomonadota; Alphaproteobacteria. The record is from RNAcentral.
UAAUACGGAGGGGGCAAGCGUUGCUCGGAAUUACUGGGCGUAAAGCGCGCGUAGGCGGUGCACAUAGUCAGGCGUGAAAGCCCCGGGCUUAACCCGGGAACUGCGUUUGAUACUGGUGUGCUAGAAUCCGAAAGAGGGCAGUGGAAUUCCCAGUGUAGAGGUGAAAUUCGUAGAUAUUGGGAAGAACACCAGAGGCGAAGGCGGCUGCCUGGUUCGGUAUUGACGCUGAGGUGCGAAAGCGUGGGGAGCGAACAGGAUUAGAUACCCUGGUAGUCCACGCCGUAAACGAUGAGUGCUAGUUGUUGGGCAGCAUGCUGCUCGGUGACGCCGCUAACGCUUUAAGCACUCCGCCUGGGGAGUACGGUCGCAAGAUUA